AGUGGGGGAUAACGUACCGAAAGGUACGCUAAUACCGCAUAUGCCCUGAGGGGGAAAGGGGGGGAUCGUAAGACCUCUCGCUUUCGGAGUGGCCGAUAUCGGAUUAGCUAGUAGGUGAGGUAAAGGCUCACCUAGGCGACGAUCCGUAGCUGGUCUGAGAGGACGACCAGCCACACUGGGACUGAGACACGGCCCAGACUCCUACGGGAGGCAGCAGUGGGGAAUUUUGGACAAUGGGCGCAAGCCUGAUCCAGCCAUGCCGCGUGAGUGAAGAAGGCCUUCGGGUUGUAAAGCUCUUUCAGCUGGAAAGAAAUCGUAUCUACUAAUACUAGGUGCGGAUGACGGUACCAGCAGAAGAAGCACCGGCUAACUACGUGCCAGCAGCCGCGGUAAUACGUAGGGUGCGAGCGUUAAUCGGAAUUACUGGGCGUAAAGCGUGCGCAGGCGGCUUUUUAAGCCAGAUGUGAAAUCCCCGGGCUUAACCUGGGAACUGCAUUUGGAACUGGAAGGCUAGAGUGUAGCAGAGGGGGGUAGAAUUCCA
RNAcentral lists this ribosomal RNA (541 nucleotides) under uncultured Gallionellaceae bacterium. RNAcentral's name for it is "bacterial SSU rRNA". It matches the Rfam family "Bacterial small subunit ribosomal RNA", at positions 135 to 671 of the family's 1533-position model. Lineage: Bacteria; Pseudomonadati; Pseudomonadota; Betaproteobacteria; Nitrosomonadales; Gallionellaceae. The record is from RNAcentral.